RNAcentral lists this transfer RNA (74 nucleotides) under Chloroflexota bacterium. Its description in RNAcentral is "Chloroflexi bacterium (freshwater metagenome) tRNA-Gln". It matches the Rfam family "tRNA". Rfam says of the family: Transfer RNA (tRNA) molecules are approximately 80 nucleotides in length. Their secondary structure includes four short double-helical elements and three loops (D, anti-codon, and T loops). Further hydrogen bonds mediate the characteristic L-shaped molecular structure. tRNAs have two regions of fundamental functional importance: the anti-codon, which is responsible for specific mRNA codon recognition, and the 3' end, to which the tRNAs corresponding amino acid is attached (by aminoacyl-tRNA synthetases). tRNAs cope with the degeneracy of the genetic code in two manners: having more than one tRNA (with a specific anti-codon) for a particular amino acid; and 'wobble' base-pairing, i.e. permitting non-standard base-pairing at the 3rd anti-codon position. The record is from RNAcentral. Lineage: Bacteria; Bacillati; Chloroflexota.
UGGGGGAUCGUCUAGUGGUAGGACACAAGACUUUGGAUCUUGGCGCGGAGGUUCGAAUCCUCCUCCCCCAGCCA